CUUGAUUGAUGACGUACUGUGUACUGAUUGAGAUUUUAUCACGAAGUGAGUGGCGAACGGGUGAGUAACACGUGGGUACCGUGCCCAGAAGUAGGGGAUAACUCCUGGAAACAGAUGCUAAUACCGUAUAACAUAGAAAACCGCGUGGUUUUCUUUUAAAAUAUGGUUCUGCUAUCACUUCUGGAGGGACCCGCGGCGUAUUACCUGUUUGGUGAGGUAAAGGCUCACCAAGGCAGUGAUACGUAGCCGACCUGAAAGGGGAAUCGGCCACAUUGGGACUGAAACACGGCCCAAACUCCUACGGGAGGCAGCAGUAGGGAAUCUUCCACAAUGGACGCAAGUCUGAUGGAGCAACGCCGCGUGAGUGAAGAAGGGUUUCGGCUCGUAAAGCUCUGUUGUUAAAGAAGAACGUGGGUAAGAGUAACUGUUUACCCAGUGACGGUAUUUAACCAGAAAGCCACGGCUAACUACGUGCCAGCAGCCGCGGUAAUACGUAGGUGGCAAGCGUUAUCCGGAUUUAUUGGGCGUAAAGCGAGCGCAGGGGGUCUUUUAAGUCUAAUGUGAAAGCCUUUGGUUCAACCGAAGAAGUGUAUUGGAAAUUGGGAGAUUUGAGUGGAGAAGAGGAAAGUGGAAUUUUAUGUGGUAGGGGGU
Molecule: ribosomal RNA, 651 nt
Filed under: Pediococcus pentosaceus
Lineage: Bacteria; Bacillati; Bacillota; Bacilli; Lactobacillales; Lactobacillaceae
Description: bacterial SSU rRNA
Rfam family: Bacterial small subunit ribosomal RNA
Source: RNAcentral